GGACACCGCCGCCAGCCCCCCCUUCGCCCCGCACGCUACGACCCCGGGACUAACUGGAGCCUGCGAGCUACCGCCCCCAUCCGCCUUCCCCUCCUCCAAUUAGCGGCCGGCAUCGCCUUAGCAACAGGCUAACAAACCCCACUGGGCCAAUGACUGAGUGAGCCCUGGGCGUGGUCUCUGUUACCAGGCUAGGCUGAGAGGUGCUGCCGGAGCUAAGUCAUUGAAACUCCCUUUCCAUUCAGCGCAGAGUGCACGGUAGCAGCAGUCGCUGGCUGUGCUGCUCCGGGAGCGGGUGCCUGAGCUGCUCCAAGCUCACAGUUUAAGUGAAUGCACAAAUCACCGGCGUUUACGCAACACACACUGCGCUUAUCUACAAGUGCUUCUCAUUUGCAAGCUUCAGACCUACUCCAUCUUCCGUCUCCUGCUUCCCAUCCAAAUAGAGAGACACUUGAAGUCCAAGCUGAAGAAGAAAGACAGUAAGGAGGGCAGUGAUACCUACAGCAUCUGAAGUCCCUUUCUGUUUGUCAUUUUGGAGGAGGAAAAGAAUAUGCAAGCAGUCAGAAACAAUACAUGGUUAGGGGGUGAGAAGAAAGAAAACUGAUCAAGGACCCCUGUGAAUUUAAAGCUACUACAAUAUUAAUCACUUCAUUCUUCAAUUCCUUCAUGCAAUCACUGGAACUGCAAAAGAAGAUUCCUCUUACUGAAAAGAAUCAGAGAAGUUCCUGGGGCAACAGAGGAUGGAGAUGGAAUAAACAAAUCAGCAUUUUCCAAUGGAAGACUAUUCUGUAGGAAAAGCUCUG
This is a long non-coding RNA of Mauremys mutica (yellowpond turtle), 800 nucleotides long. RefSeq lists it as uncharacterized. NCBI's taxonomy places the organism in Eukaryota, Metazoa, Chordata, Testudines, Geoemydidae. The record is from RefSeq and is a predicted model, not a curated record. The transcript has 3 exons.